RNAcentral lists this ribosomal RNA (498 nucleotides) under uncultured bacterium. RNAcentral describes it as "partial 16S ribosomal RNA". It matches the Rfam family "Bacterial small subunit ribosomal RNA", at positions 28 to 507 of the family's 1533-position model. The record is from RNAcentral.
GACGAACGCUGGCGGCGUGCCUAAUACAUGCAAGUCGAGCGGACGGAUGGGAGCUUGCUCCCAGACCGUCAGCGGCGGACGGGUGAGUAACACGUGGGCAACCUGCCUGUAAGACUGGGAUAACUCCGGGAAACCGGGGCUAAUACCGGAUAACUCUUUCCCUCACAUGAGGGAAAGCUGAAAGAUGGCAUCUCGCUAUCACUUACAGAUGGGCCCGCGGCGCAUUAGCUAGUUGGUGAGGUAACGGCUCACCAAGGCGACGAUGCGUAGCCGACCUGAGAGGGUGAUCGGCCACACUGGGACUGAGACACGGCCCAGACUCCUACGGGAGGCAGCAGUAGGGAAUCUUCCGCAAUGGACGAAAGCCUGACGGAGCAACGCCGCGUGAGUGAUGAAGGUUUUCGGAUCGUAAAACUCUGUUGUCAGGGAAGAACAAGUACCGGAGUAACUGCCGGUACCUUGACGGUACCUGACCAGAAAGCCACGGCUAACUACGUG